GCUACAGGCUUAACACAUGCAAGUCGAGGGGCAGCGGGUAGGAAGCUUGCUUCCUAUGCCGGCGACCGGCGCACGGGUGAGUAACGCGUACCGAACCUGCCCCGCACCCGCGGACAGCCCUGCGAAAGCAGGAUUAAGCCGCGAUUGGCGGAUUGCCCGCAUGGGCGUUCCGUGAAACUUGUAGGGUACGGGAUGGCGGUGCGUCCCAUUAGCUUGUUGGCGGGGUAACGGCCCACCAAGGCUUCGAUGGGUAGGGGUUCUGAGAGGAAGGCCCCCCACAUUGGAACUGAGACACGGUCCAAACUCCUACGGGAGGCAGCAGUGAGGAAUAUUGGUCAAUGGGCGGAAGCCUGAACCAGCCAAGUAGCGUGCGGGAGGAAGGCCCUACGGGCUGUAAACCGCUUUUAGACGGGGAUAAAGUGCGCCACGCGUGGCGCAUUGCAGGUACCGUCAGAAAAAGGACCGGCUAAUUCCGUGCCAGCAGCCGCGGUAAUACGGAAGGUCCGGGCGUUAUCCGGAUUCAUUGGGUUUAAAGGGAGCGCAGGCGGGCCGCCAAGCCAGCCGUGAAAUGCCGGGGCUCAACCCCGGGACUGCGGUUGGAACUGGCGGCCUUGAGUGCACGCAGGGACGUUGGAAUUCACGGUGUAGCGGUGAAAUGCUUAGAUAUCGUGAAGAACCCCGGCGGCGAAGGCGUAUGUCCGGAGUGCAACUGACGCUGAGGCUCGAAAGUGCGGGUAUCGAACAGGAUUAGAUACCCUGGUAGUCCGCACGGUAAACGAUGGACACCCGCGAUCGGCGCAUCGGCGCCGGUCGCCAAGCGAAAGCGUUAAGUGUCCCACCUGGGGAGUACGCCGGCAACGGUGAAACUCAAAGGAAUUGACGGGGGCCCGCACAAGCGGAGGAACAUGUGGUUUAAUUCGAUGAUACGCGAGGAACCUUACCCGGGCUUGAACUGCACAGGAAUGCGCCAGAGACGGCGCAGCCCUUCGGGGCCUGCGCGGAGGUGCUGCAUGGUUGUCGUCAGCUCGUGCCGUGAGGUGUCGGCUUAAGUGCCAUAACGAGCGCAACCCCCCCCCGCGUUUGCCAUCGGGUUAUGCCGGGCACUCCGCGGGCACUGCCACCGUAAGGUGCGAGGAAGGCGGGGAUGA
Molecule: ribosomal RNA, 1148 nt
Filed under: uncultured bacterium
Lineage: Bacteria
Description: bacterial SSU rRNA
Rfam family: Bacterial small subunit ribosomal RNA
Source: RNAcentral